GAGUUUGAUCCGUGGCUCAGGAUGAACGCUAGCUACAGGCUUAACACAUGCAAGUCGAGGGGCAGCAUGGUCUUAGCUUGCUAAGACUGAUGGCGACCGGCGCACGGGUGAGUAACACGUAUCCAACCUGCCGUCUACUCUUGGACAGCCUUCUGAAAGGAGAUUAAUACAAGAUGGCAUCAUGAGUCCGCAUGUUCACAUGAUUAAAGGUNUUCCGGUAGACGAUGGGGAUGCGUUCCAUUAGAUAGUAGGCGGGGUAACGGCCACCUAGUCUUCGAUGGAUAGGGGUUCUGAGAGGAAGGUCCCCCACAUUGGAACUGAGACACGGUCCAAACUCCUACGGGAGCA
This 348-nucleotide ribosomal RNA is filed under the name uncultured bacterium. RNAcentral's name for it is "bacterial SSU rRNA". It matches the Rfam family "Bacterial small subunit ribosomal RNA", at positions 9 to 349 of the family's 1533-position model. The record is from RNAcentral.